Molecule: ribosomal RNA, 403 nt
Filed under: Fusobacteriota bacterium
Lineage: Bacteria; Fusobacteriati; Fusobacteriota
Description: Fusobacteria bacterium partial 16S ribosomal RNA
Rfam family: Bacterial small subunit ribosomal RNA
Source: RNAcentral
UGGGGAAUCUUGCACAAUGGGGGAAACCCUGAUGCAGCGACGCCGCGUGAGCGAUGAAGGUUUUCGAAUCGUAAAGCUCUGUCCUAUGGGAAGAUAAUGACGGUACCAUGGGAGGAAGCCCCGGCGAACUACGUGCCAGCAGCCGCGGUAAUACGUAGGGGGCGAGCGUUGUCCGGAAUUACUGGGCGUAAAGGGUUCGCAGGCGGCAUGGCAAGUCCGAUGUAAAAGGCGAAGGCUCAACCUUCGUAAGCAUCGGAAACUGUCAAGCUUGAGUGAAGGAGAGGCAAGUGGAAUUCCUAGUGUAGCGGUGGAAUGCGUAGAUAUUAGGAGGAAUACCGGUGGCGAAGGCGACUUGCUGGACUUCAACUGACGCUGAGGAACGAAAGCGUGGGUAGCAAACAGG